This 232-nucleotide long non-coding RNA is filed under the name Vitis vinifera (wine grape). RNAcentral's name for it is "long non-coding RNA (VVIN_LNC001882)". Lineage: Eukaryota; Viridiplantae; Streptophyta; Magnoliopsida; Vitales; Vitaceae. The record is from RNAcentral.
AAAGUAAGCUAAAUCCACUUUUUAUCCAAAAACUUGGUUGGUUCUUUUGAUUUAUGUUUCUAUUAUAUUAGUGAAUUGUUAUUUUUUUUUUUUUUGAGACCUUAGGAAUAUCACUUUCAUUUUCUUUAAAGGUGACAAAUUGAGUGCAUAUGUUUAUGUGAUCUCAUUGUUAUCAUCAUGUGUACACUUAAGAUUUGAGAAAUUUUCGAUUGUUGAGGCAAGAGGAUACACC